ACGGAAGGCAGCAGUGGGGAAUAUUGCACAAUGGGGGAAACCCUGAUGCAGCGACGCCGCGUGAGUGAAGAAGUUAUUCGUAAUGUAAAGCUCUAUCAGCAGGGAAGAAAAUGACGGUACCUGACUAAGAAGCCCCGGCUAACUACGUGCCAGCAGCCGCGGUAAUACGUAGGGGGCAAGCGUUAUCCGGAUUUACUGGGUGUAAAGGGAGCGUAGACGGUCUAGCAAGUCUGAUGUGAAAGGCAGGGGCUCAACUCCUGGACUGCAUUGGAAACUGUUAGUCUUGAGUGUCGGAGAGGUAAGCGGAAUUCCUAGUGUAGCGGUGAAAUGCGUAGAUAUUAGGAGGAACACCAGUGGCGAAGGCGGCUUACUGGACGAUAACUGACGUUGAGGCUCGAAAGCGUGGGGAGUAAACAGGAUUAGAUACCCUGGUA
RNAcentral lists this ribosomal RNA (434 nucleotides) under uncultured Lachnospiraceae bacterium. RNAcentral's name for it is "partial 16S ribosomal RNA". It matches the Rfam family "Bacterial small subunit ribosomal RNA", at positions 341 to 792 of the family's 1533-position model. Lineage: Bacteria; Bacillati; Bacillota; Clostridia; Lachnospirales; Lachnospiraceae. The record is from RNAcentral.